This is a long non-coding RNA of Sebastes umbrosus (honeycomb rockfish), 502 nucleotides long. RefSeq lists it as uncharacterized. NCBI's taxonomy places the organism in Eukaryota, Metazoa, Chordata, Actinopteri, Perciformes, Sebastidae. The record is from RefSeq and is a predicted model, not a curated record. The transcript is spliced from 3 exons.
CACAGCAUGCAAUACAUCAUUUAAAGGAAUACUUCACCCAAGAUGAUGAGCAUUUGUGUAUCAAUUCCUCAGCCCGUGGUACCUUGAAUUCUGGAAGAACAUUUUUCUUGUUUUUUUCUCAUGCAUCCACAGUGAACGGAGAAUCAAAAAACAGAGAAAAGUCUUGAUGAAUUGAAGUAAAUGGGGGUUUAACAACAGCAAAACUAUAUCAAAACAUCAGAUUUCACUUCAACACUUCUGACUCAAGUAGCGUGCUUGCGCAAGUGUGAGACUGUUUAUGCAGAGGUGUUUUAAAUAGUAAGGUUUUAGUGAAGAUGCAUGUGUUUGGGAAGUAGUGAGCAUGUGACUGGAUAAAUGAGACUUGGAUUAUACUGCACGAGUCGUGUGAGAGUCUGUUAACGGAUGUUUUGACAUAGUUUUGCUGUUGUUAACUGCGGCCCCCCAUUUACUUCAAUUCAUUAAGACUUUGCUCCGUUUUUGGAUUCUCCAUGAGAGAGGUUUU